Molecule: long non-coding RNA, 679 nt
Filed under: Salmo salar (Atlantic salmon)
Lineage: Eukaryota; Metazoa; Chordata; Actinopteri; Salmoniformes; Salmonidae
Description: lncRNA (ENSSSAG00000112705.1, ENSSSAG00000120881.1, ENSSSAG00020084663.1, ENSSSAG00075066539.1)
Source: RNAcentral
CCAGGUGAAAGCAAUGAUCCCUUAUUGAUGUCACUUGUUAAAUCCACUUCAAUCAGUGUCGAUCAAGGGGAGGAGACAGUCCUUUAUGCUGAAAAUGAACAUAGAAGGCUGUUGUAUAAAACACCAUUCUCCGGAAUACAUCUUCAAACUAAGGGCAACCAUGGCAUCCAUGACAGAGAGGGAGAAGCAUUCAUCCAUGUAUUCAUUUGAGCCUUGGGGGAUCCGGUGCCUUGGGUGUUCCUGUAACACAAGCUCUCCACGUUACUCAAUAACCACAAUGGAAUCUCACACCGGAACCUAGCUUCGUAAUCUGACUUCGGAGUUUGCCAUCGGAAUGUCUUCCUCCUCCUUUCCCUGGGUCCUAAGAAGGAAUGUCUCUCUGACUGACGGGGGGAUAAAACACCCUUGCUCCCUCUUUCCUCUCUCCUCACAACGUAUCCUUUCCUCACCCCCUCUCCCACCCUCUCACCUCCCCUCUACAUACCCCUUCUUCCCUCCUCUCCAGCCCCCAGUCAGUUGUCAGUCAACUUAAAGUUUAUGGAAAAUAUGGCCAAACACCAACAUGUUUUCAAUCAAGUUAAAAAUGUAUUUAAUACAUGCCACAAUAAAUUCCAACUGUGUCUGUAAUGAGUAAUGUUUUACAUAUUUACCUUCUGAAAUUAUGCAUUUGGUGUACAGC